UCACAUCAUGUGUUGUAGUAACACUGUCGAAAACGUACAGUGGGCAUAUAUGGCACUGUUUAGAAUGUGAUACUUGCAUAAUUUUUGCAAACGUUUUGUUGUCAUCAGAACUUCGUUUUUAUUAUCACUGUAUUUUACCAUUACGCUCGCCUGGGGUGUAUUCAUCACGGAAAUCGUUUACCGUUUAAGAACCAAAUGGAUGCAAACAGAGCAAAUGGAACGAAACGGGGAGGGAUUUACCAGAAUUUGUCCAAUAGAAACUCUCGUUUGCGUUUUCCGUGUGGGGUUAACGAUUUCUGUUGCAAAACGUUUUGUAGCAACAGAAUCGGCUUAAUGAUUACGCCCCUGAUGCAUGUGGGGUUGUUGUAAUGUUUGCGCCAGGAGUUGCCUAAACAUUUUUAGAAAACGAGACAGUAAAACUGAUAGAAGUGUCUCUUUUGGUAAAGUUUACAACCUCGGGAGUUUGGACAGCAUGGUGCGAACCAGUCCUCUGGUGAGAUGUUCCCUCCUUUGCCAGUGAUGCAAGAGAGGUUAUAGCUUUAAACAAAGCAAAAUGCACAUUAGUGAUACAAACCCCCAAAAGGCAGGCUUAUGGCAACAGUUGUGGCAAACCUUUGGCCAAUUUGUCACAUUUGCUGCAUACUCAUAUUUUCACAUUUUAAAUUAGCUUUGUGGCAAUCUGUUGUAACUUGCGAACUACUGGCAAACCAUUCUGGGAAACUUGUGGAGAACAUUUUGCAAAUUUGCAGCAAACUCCGUAUGAAUAUGCAAAUUAGAUCCGGUUUUGGUUACUGUGUGUUAACAACAUUGAAAUGUUUUAUCUACAUUAACCAAAUCACAUAACUUAGUUCUCAAGAGAAAAAAAACGUAAAUAUAAAAUGUGGUAAAUAUACUGAACAUUUGUACAAUAAUCAGCAGCAUGGUAAUGAAGAAAAGAGCAAAGACUGGAUAUUUCUCAAAUAAAUUAUUUAGUUAAUGUUUUUAUGUAGCUUACAUGAGAGAAAUGGGAAAACUUUGGGGGUGUUGACCUUAGGAUGUUUAAAGGUGCAACUACAUAAAUAUUUACAUGAGCCAAGUGAUAACUGAGCAAUAGAUUUCAACCAUUGGAAGUUUAAAAGAUAAUGAACAGUGUUAUGAAUUAAAAACAAAAACAAACCCAGUUCAGAACUAUUGCCUUUUUAGUGAACUUUGGAGAUGGCAGCCCUGUGGAAGCCCUUUGUCCAACGCUUGUUGAAUGCAUGCACUGAAACAAUCAGAAAACAUAAAACAAACUAAAUCAGGACACUGAAAGCAAUUAAUUUUGCUGAAACAUUUUUUUUCCCUACCAUCCCAGCCCCUCCCUUUCCUACACACAAUCAGGGUACAGUGUUGAAUUAAUUUGUUUUGCCUGCAUUUCAGAAAAUACUCACAUCAGACAAUUGUCCACAAUGUACAAUAAUAUAUAUAUAUAUUUUAAAUAGCACAUUGAAACAAAGCCCUAUUGUCUAAGUAUGUGUUAUUUCAUAAGAUAACAAUCAAUCAUAUCUUAUGAAAUCUUAAAACGUAUGUAUAUUAUUUCAUUAACAAAACAGUCCAAACAGCUGAACUUGAUGUGCACACUCAGAUUGCAAUCUGAUAAAAACAAAGCAUUUGUGUGUGUUACACUGUCCUAAGUGGUAUCAACACAGAUCUGUCUAUCAGAAUGUGCCAGAGCAAAUCCAUAGAUAUUCACAUUCACUGACACACUUCAGCUACAGUAUCUUAGGUGACAGCACACAUAAUGAUCUAUAUUUGGGUAGAGUCAAAACAUUUUUACACAGUUAACAAGUGUAAAAUAUUACGUUUGAAGGUCACUCUACUAAGGACUUUGACUAAUGACUGUCAUUACUUAUAAAGCACUGUUCACAUUUUCCAAAAUGUAGCAUUUCUAUUUAAAAUAAAUAUUUGUGAUAGGAUCAAAGGGUAGAGGAAUGUGCUUCAGCCCAGCUUGAACAAAAAAUGUCAUUAUAUAUGUUAAUCAUACACAUGUUUAAAGAUAUUAAAACAAAGGGCAUGCCUAGUCAGUUGCACAACUGAAUGCAUUCCGCAUUUAACCCAACCACUCUGAAUCAGAGAGACACUCGUGGCUCAUCCAUUCAUUGAGUUAGUCACACUACGAAAUGCUACCAAAUAAACCACAAUUCAUUCAUAAUACUGUGAAUAUAUAGUUUCACAGACAUAUUGUUAUUUUUUUCUGGUUUGUCGGAAAUCGUUAGAAAUCAUAUAAAACCAGUCUGCACACCAAGGUGAACUGGUUUAGUUUUGACUCUUGGUUGACAGUGUUGGGGGAUGGGUAAUGUAGUGAUGCUCGAGUGCCAAAUCAACACAAAUGGAUAAGAAGAGGUCUAAGCCAUCAGGUGCCCAGUUUAGGAAAAAGAGGAAAGAAGAGGAGAAAGGCUCAACAGAUUAAAAGGUAUGCAGCUAUGUCAUCUCUUUAUGAGUAUAAUAUUAUGCAUGUAAAGAAGUAGGCUAGUACAAUACUUAUGUUUGUUAGUCUAUAUUACUUGCUAUGCUAUUACACAUAGGGCGACAACAUUCCAUUUUCUGUCCAACUAGCUUACAUAACAUUGGAUGUAAUUUCACACAGUUUCAUCAUGAUAAUGUGUGUAACCUGCAGCAAAACGAUUGCAACCUAUCUAGCACACCAUUGAUUUGGUUCACUUUCAUUGAGGUGACAUCAUAAAGGUGAAUAUGCACAUUGUAUUGUGUUGACUAGGUCCUGAGCUCAGUAAGGGGAAUUUCCAAUGCUGUAGGCCAUCUUAAGACGUAUAUAUUAUGCCGAUAUCUUGUAUCUUUUGUGAUAUAUUGCGUCUUUUGGGGUGUCUUAUGCCUAGAAUUGGCCAAGGAUGUUGUAUGGUUCAUUUGGUUCCUAUUCUGAAAGUCUGAUAAAUUGUGCAUAAUGACAUGUAUAUUUAAUUGUGCAACAAAUGGAUUUAGGGUGUCACUAAUAUACUGUAUUCCAAUGCAAAUUCAGGGGCACUUCUGAAAUAUUUUGGAGCACCCUCUGGCACUGGCCACGAUGAGAAGCCAUCUACCUCCUCAGCCACACAGGCCUCUUCAGAAAUGAUCUCGGAGCCUCAGGAUGAGGAACCAUCCACCUCCUCAGCCACACAGGUGUCUUCACAAAUGUUGUCUGAGCCUGAGGAUGAGGAUGAAGACCCAUUCACUUCCACUUCUCCCCAGCAGGAUUCUUCAGAAAUGCCUGUAGCAGCAUCCCCACCAAAUUAUGCUGCUGAGGAUGAUUCACUGUCUACAGACCCUGCUGACAGGCCUUCAGUUCUGACUGACAGAAUUCGGACAUUACUAGUUUGCAGAGGACCAAGUGAGGUACCACCUAAAACUUCCCAUAAUUAAAAUUACUCAAACAUACAAAUAUUUUACACCAUUUUAAAGAUAAACUUGUUGUAAAUCCAGCCACAGUGUCCGAUUUCAAAAAGGCUUUACGACGAAAGCACACCAAACUAUUAUGUUAGGUCAGGACCUAGUCACAGAAAAACACCGCCAUUUAUCUAGCCAAAGAGAGCAGUCAAAAAAACAGAAAUAAAGAUCAAGUUAAUAACUAACCUUUGAUGAUCUUCAUCAGAUGACACUCAUAGGACUUUGUUACACACUACAUGUAUGUUUUGUUCGAUAAAGUUCAUAUUUAUAUCCAAAAAUCUCAGUUUACAUUGGCUUUAAUUUAACAAUUGAGUAUUGAAUAUUUUAAGAUGUUAUUUAAACAUUGAAAAGUUCCUUGUUUUUAAGUGUUAUUUAAGCAAUAAAUGGAAAGCAAAGUUAUUUGUCUCCCUCUUUUUCUGAUCUGGAAAAAUGAUCCGAUCCGUGACUCAAAACCGUGAUCCGAUCCGAACUAUGAGUUUUGUGACCGUUGUACCACUACUUGCCAUCGAAGACCAUAACCCUGCUUGAGCUGCUGAUAUUUAUACACGAAAGGGAGCUCUUAGAAAUGUAUCCACAUUUGUGGAUUGCUCUCAGAAUUUGUCUUACUCUUCCAGUGACCGUAGCUGAAGCAGAGAGGAGCUUUUCAAAGCUCAUCAAAUUCUACCUGAGGUCCACCAUGUCACAGGAAUGCCUUAGUGGCCUUGCUGUCAUUAGUAUUAACCAUGCAAUCGCUGGGCAGAUUUCUUAUGAUGAUGUAAUUGAUGACUUUGCAUCAAGGAAGGCAAGAAAGGUCAGGGUUUAGAUGGCAGUUGUGCAAUUUAGUUUGUGUUUCUUGUUUGAAGUGCAAUACACAGGUUCUCUUCUUUAUAAGUGUGUUAUUCUAGUUGUGUAUUUGUGUGAUAUAGGAUUCGUGCAAUUUAGUUUUAUUUGUGUUUUUUGUUAGCAAUAGGGAAAUAGUGUAAUAAUUUGAUUCUAACUUUUAUUUUUAUUUAUAUACUACAUUUUGUAUCUAUUCGUCUUUGUUAUGAUGAUUUAUUUGUGUUCCAAAUGUCUGAAUAAAAAUUACAGUUAGUGCA
Oncorhynchus gorbuscha (pink salmon) is the source of this 4472-nucleotide long non-coding RNA. RefSeq lists it as uncharacterized. The record is from RefSeq and is a predicted model, not a curated record. NCBI's taxonomy places the organism in Eukaryota, Metazoa, Chordata, Actinopteri, Salmoniformes, Salmonidae. The transcript has 2 exons.